Molecule: ribosomal RNA, 601 nt
Filed under: uncultured bacterium
Lineage: Bacteria
Description: bacterial SSU rRNA
Rfam family: Bacterial small subunit ribosomal RNA
Source: RNAcentral
CUACUGGGCUUUUACUGACGCUGAGGCUCGAAAGCAUGGGUAGCAAACAGGAUUAGAUACCCUGGUAGUCCAUGCCGUAAACGAUGAUUACUAGGUGUGGGGGAGCUGACCUCUUCCGUGCCGCAGUUAACACAAUAAGUAAUCCACCUGGGGAGUACGGCCGCAAGGUUGAAACUCAAAGGAAUUGACGGGGGCCCGCACAAGCAGUGGAGUAUGUGGUUCAAUUCGAAGCAACGCGAAGAACCUUACCAGGUCUUGACAUCGAGUGACGAGUCUAGAGAUAGGCUUUUCCUUCGGGACACGAAGACAGGUGGUGCAUGGUUGUCGUCAGCUCGUGUCGUGAGAUGUUGGGUUAAGUCCCGCAACGAGCGCAACCCUUAUCAUUAGUUGCUACGGAAGAGCACUCUAAUGAGACUGCCGUUGACAAAACGGAGGAAGGUGGGGAUGACGUCAAAUCAUCAUGCCCCUUAUGACCUGGGCUACACACGUACUACAAUGGCCGUCAACAGAGGGAAGCAAAGCCGCGAGGCGGAGCAAACCCCUAAAAACGGUCCCAGUUCAGAUUGCAGGCUGCAACUCGCCUGCAUGAAGUUGGAAUUGC